RNAcentral lists this ribosomal RNA (515 nucleotides) under uncultured Acidobacteriota bacterium. Its description in RNAcentral is "bacterial SSU rRNA". It matches the Rfam family "Bacterial small subunit ribosomal RNA", at positions 355 to 864 of the family's 1533-position model. The record is from RNAcentral. Lineage: Bacteria; Pseudomonadati; Acidobacteriota.
UCGGGAAUUUUGGGCAAUGGGCGAAAGCCUGACCCAGCAACGCCGCGUGAAGGAUGAAAUCCCUCGGGAUGUAAACUUCGCAAGAACGGGAAGAAUAAGUAAGAGUUAACAUCUCUUAUGAUGACGGUACUGUUUGUAAGCUCCGGCUAACUCCGUGCCAGCAGCCGCGGUAAUACGGGGGGAGCAAGCGUUGUUCGGAUUUACUGGGCGUAAAGGGCGCGUAGGCGGCCACCGCAAGUCGACUGUGAAAUCUCCGGGCUUAACUCGGAAAGGUCAGCCGAUACUGCGGGGCUAGAGUGCAGAAGGGGCAACUGGAAUUCUCGGUGUAGCGGUGAAAUGCGUAGAUAUCGAGAGGAACACCUGCGGCGAAGGCGGGUUGCUGGGCUGACACUGACGCUGAGGCGCGAAAGCUAGGGGAGCGAACGGGAUUAGAUACCCCGGUAGUCCUAGCCUUAAACGAUGAAUGCUUGGUGUCUGGGGUUUAUAGUCCCGGGUGCCGUCGCUAACGCUUUAAG